This 490-nucleotide ribosomal RNA is filed under the name uncultured bacterium. RNAcentral's name for it is "partial 16S ribosomal RNA". It matches the Rfam family "Bacterial small subunit ribosomal RNA", at positions 30 to 507 of the family's 1533-position model. The record is from RNAcentral.
UGACCGCUAGCUACAGGCUUAACACGUGCAAGUCGAGGGGAAACGGCAUCGAAAGCUUGCUUUUGAUGGGCGUCGACCGGCGCACGGGUGAGUAACGCGUAUCCAACCUGCCCAUCACUUGGGAAUAACCUUGCGAAAGUAAGACUGAUGCCCAAUGACAUCCCACGAAGGCAUCCGAAUGGGAUUAAAGAUUUAUCGGUGAUGGAUGGGGAUGCGUCUGAUUAGCUUGUUGGCGGGGUGACGGCCCACCAAGGCAACGAUCAGUAGGGGUUCUGAGAGGAAGGUCCCCCACAUUGGAACUGAGACACGGUCCAAACUCCUACGGGAGGCAGCAGUGAGGAAUAUUGGUCAAUGGGCGAGAGCCUGAACCAGCCAAGUAGCGUGCAGGAUGACGGCCCUAUGGGUUGUAAACUGCUUUUAUAAGGGAAUAAAGUGGGUCACGUGUGACUUUUUGCAUGUACCUUAUGAAUAAGGACCGGCUAAUUCCGUG